AACGAACGCUGGCGGCAGGCCUAACACAUGCAAGUCGAACGCACCUUCGGGUGAGUGGCAGACGGGUGAGUAACGCGUGGGAACCUUCCCUGUGGUACGGAAUAGCUCCGGGAAACUGGAAUUAAUGCCGUAUACGCCCUUCGGGGGAAAGAUUUAUCGCCAUAGGAUGGGCCCGCGUCGGAUUAGCUUGUUGGUAGGGUAAUGGCCUACCAAGGCAACGAUCCGUAGCUGGUCUUAGAGGAUGAUCAGCCACACUGGGACUGAGACACGGCCCAGACUCCUACGGGAGGCAGCAGUGGGGAAUAUUGGACAAUGGGCGAAAGCCUGAUCCAGCCAUGCCGCGUGAGUGACGAAGGCCUUAGGGUUGUAAAACUCUUUUGGCGGGGACGAUAAUGACGGUACCCGCAGAAUAAGCCCCGGCUAACUCCGUG
RNAcentral lists this ribosomal RNA (431 nucleotides) under uncultured bacterium. Its description in RNAcentral is "bacterial SSU rRNA". It matches the Rfam family "Bacterial small subunit ribosomal RNA", at positions 29 to 507 of the family's 1533-position model. The record is from RNAcentral.